This 70-nucleotide microRNA precursor is filed under the name Schistosoma mattheei. Its description in RNAcentral is "mir-3492 microRNA precursor family". It matches the Rfam family "mir-3492 microRNA precursor family". Lineage: Eukaryota; Metazoa; Platyhelminthes; Trematoda; Strigeidida; Schistosomatidae. The record is from Rfam by way of RNAcentral.
CGCCUUCUGUAUCCGUGCUGAGAUUUCGUAGACCACAAGGGCUGAUGAGACUUCCAAGAUAAGUGAAGCG